GCACAAGCACGCCCCGUGAGUAUGAGGUUUCGGGCUUAAACUUCUUUGUUCGGGAAAAAAGUGCCGUUCCACAAGGAGGCAUUGGACGGUACCUAACACAACGCCACGGCUAACAACGGGGCUACAGUUGCGGUAAUACAUAGGUGGCAAGCGUUGUCCGGAAUUAUUGGGCGUAAAGAGGUGAAAGGCGGUCUUUUAACUCUGAUGUGAAAUCUCGGGCUUCAACUCCGAACGGCCAUUGAAGACUGGGAAACUUGAGUUGUAAAGAGGAAAUUGGAAUUCCACGUGUAGCGGUGAAAUGCGUAAAGAUGUGGAGGAACACCAGUGGCAAAGGCAACUCUCUGGUCUGUAACUGACGCUAAGGCGCGAAACCCUGGGGAGCAAACAGGAUUACAUACCCUGGUAGUCCACGCCGUAAACGAUGAUUGCUAGGUGUUAGGGGUUUCUAUGCCCUUAGUGCCGAAGUUAACACAUUAAGCACUCCGCCUGGGGAUUUCCGACCGCAAGGUUGAAACUCAAGGAUUUUUUUGCGGGG
This 535-nucleotide ribosomal RNA is filed under the name uncultured Caryophanales bacterium. RNAcentral describes it as "bacterial SSU rRNA". It matches the Rfam family "Bacterial small subunit ribosomal RNA", at positions 386 to 920 of the family's 1533-position model. The record is from RNAcentral. Lineage: Bacteria; Bacillati; Bacillota; Bacilli; Caryophanales.